This 301-nucleotide ribosomal RNA is filed under the name uncultured bacterium. Its description in RNAcentral is "partial 16S ribosomal RNA". It matches the Rfam family "Bacterial small subunit ribosomal RNA", at positions 509 to 807 of the family's 1533-position model. The record is from RNAcentral.
CAGUCGCCGCGGGAAUACGUAGGGUGCAAGCGUUAAUCGGAAUUACUGGGCGUAAAGCGUGCGCAGGCGGUUAUAUAAGACAGAUGUGAAAUCCCCGAGCUUAACUUGGGAACUGCAUUUGAAACUGGCAAGCUAGAGUCUUGUAGAGGGGGGUAGAAUUCCAGGUGUAGCGGUGAAAUGCGUAGAGAUCUGGAGGAAUACCGGUGGCGAAGGCGGCCCCCUGGACAAAGACUGACGCUCAGGUGCGAAAGCGUGGGGAGCAAACAGGAUUAGAUACCCCUGUAGUCCCUGUCUCUUAUAC